This 341-nucleotide long non-coding RNA is filed under the name Bos taurus (domestic cattle). Its description in RNAcentral is "long non-coding RNA NONBTAT018444". The record is from RNAcentral. Lineage: Eukaryota; Metazoa; Chordata; Mammalia; Artiodactyla; Bovidae.
GUUGGUGAUAGCUGAGGGUACUUUAGCCAGGUUUACAUGGUGAAGAAGUUGAUAUGUAUAGUAGAUUGUAGAUGAUUUGUGGUCAGUAUAAUUUUGCUAACUCACUCUCUUACAGUAUGUUCUGUUGCUGGGUGUUCUGUCUUACCUCUGUCACUAGUUUUACUAUUGAGAAAUAAUUUCUUCCCUAUAGAAACAUGUCUAUGGCUUCUUCCCAGGAAGUAAUAUUUUGUAAAUUACUGCUUAAAUGAAUAAAUAUGCUAGUCUUCAAAUAUUUGAUUUCAGGAUAUGUAGUAUAAAGGUUAUGCCUUUACAUUCUUAGGUAACUUGACCGACAAGAAAUU